RNAcentral lists this ribosomal RNA (366 nucleotides) under uncultured Glomus. RNAcentral describes it as "eukaryotic LSU rRNA". Lineage: Eukaryota; Fungi; Glomeromycota; Glomeromycetes; Glomerales; Glomeraceae. The record is from RNAcentral.
UUGAAAGGGAAACGAUUGAAGUCAGUCGUACUAACGGGGAAUCAACCUUUUGAGGGUGGACUUGUGGGAUUCAGAGAGCCUUUGUCUUUCACAACCUGCUUUUUUUGGGUGCAAUUUGUCGUAUUGUAGGUCAGCAUCGGUUUCGACCGUUAUAAAAUGACUGGAGGAAUGUAGCUUCGAUCUCGUAUUGAAGUGUUAUAGCCUUUGGUAGAUGUAACGGAUGGGAUCGAGGAUUGCAAUGAAUGCCCUCAUGGGCUAUCCGCCUGGCCUCUGACAUGUCACUCUGGCACCGAAAGCUUGCUUAUGGUGUUAUAGUGUACGGUCAAAAGGUUAGAACGGAAUAAAUUCGUUAAGGAUGUUGACGUA